Molecule: ribosomal RNA, 465 nt
Filed under: uncultured bacterium
Lineage: Bacteria
Description: partial 16S ribosomal RNA
Rfam family: Bacterial small subunit ribosomal RNA
Source: RNAcentral
CUACGGGGCGCUGCAGUGAGGAAUUUUGCGCAAUGGGGGAAACCCUGACGCAGCAACGCCGCGUGAGUGAAGAAGGCCUUUGGGUCGUAAAGCUCUGUCAACUGGGAAGAAGUUACAUCAUUUUAAUAGAAUGUUGUAUUGACGGUACCAGUGGAGGAAGCGCCGGCUAACUCCGUGCCAGCAGCCGCGGUAACACGGGGGGCGCAAGCGUUAUUCGGAAUUAUUGGGCGUAAAGGGCGCGCAGGCGGUCUUGUCAGUCAGGUGUGAAAGCCCGGGGCUCAACCCUGGAAGUGCACUUGAAACAGCAAGACUUGAAUACGGGAGAGGAGAGAGGAAUUCCUGGUGUAGAGGUGAAAUUCGUAGAUAUCAGGAGGAACACCGAUGGCGAAGGCAUCUCUCUGGACCGAUAUUGACGCUGAGGCGCGAAGGCGUGGGUAGCGAACGGGAUUAGAUACCCGGGUAGUC